This 500-nucleotide ribosomal RNA is filed under the name uncultured bacterium. Its description in RNAcentral is "partial 16S ribosomal RNA". It matches the Rfam family "Bacterial small subunit ribosomal RNA", at positions 30 to 523 of the family's 1533-position model. The record is from RNAcentral.
AUUGAACGCUGGCGGAAUGCUUUACACAUGCAAGUCGAACGGCAGCACGGACUUCGGUCCGGUGGCGAGUGGCGAACGGGUGAGUAAUGUAUCGGAACGUGCCCAGUCGUGGGGGAUAACGUAGUGAAAAUUACGCUAAUACCGCAUACGAUCUAUGGAUGAAAGCGGGGGAUCGCAAGACCUCGCGCGAUUGGAGCGGCCGAUAUCAGAUUAGGUAGUUGGUGGGGUAAAGGGCCACCAAGCCAACGAUCUGUAGCUGGUCUGAGAGGACGACCAGCCACACUGGAACUGAGACACGGUCCAGACUCCUACGGGAGGCAGCAGUGGGGAAUUUUGGACGAUGGGCGAAAGCCUGAUCCAGCCAUUCCGCGUGCAGGAUGAAGGCCCUCGGGUUGUAAACUGCUUUUGUACAGAACGAAAAGGUUUCUACUAAUACUAGGAGCUCAUGACGGUACUGUAAGAAUAAGCACCGGCUAACUACGUGCCAGCCGCCGCGGUAA